RNAcentral lists this transfer RNA (90 nucleotides) under Acidobacteriota bacterium. Its description in RNAcentral is "Acidobacteria bacterium tRNA-Ser". It matches the Rfam family "tRNA". From Rfam's summary of the family: Transfer RNA (tRNA) molecules are approximately 80 nucleotides in length. Their secondary structure includes four short double-helical elements and three loops (D, anti-codon, and T loops). Lineage: Bacteria; Pseudomonadati; Acidobacteriota. The record is from RNAcentral.
GGAGAGAUGGCCGAGUGGCUGAAGGCGCGCGCCUCGAAAGCGUGUAUACCUUUACGGGUAUCGGUGGUUCGAAUCCCUCUCUCUCCGCCA